RNAcentral lists this small RNA (796 nucleotides) under Pan troglodytes (chimpanzee). RNAcentral describes it as "processed transcript". The record is from RNAcentral. Lineage: Eukaryota; Metazoa; Chordata; Mammalia; Primates; Hominidae.
AGAUUACUACUUUGUAACCAGGGAGGUGAUGCAGCGUGACAUAGCAGCCGGCGACUUCAUCGAGCAUGCCGAGUUCUCGGGGAACCUGUAUGGCACGAGCAAGGUGGCGGUGCAGGCUGUGCAGGCCAUGAACCGCAUCUGUGUGCUGGACGUGGACCUGCAGGGUGUGCGGAACAUCAAGGCCACCGAUCUGCAGCCCAUCUACAUCUCUGUGCAGCCACCUUCACUGCAUGUGCUGGUGUGUGCUGGGCAGGGUUGGGGGCUGGGGGCCAGGGCAUGCCAGGCUCUGAUUGCCACCCCCUUUUUAGGAGCAGCGGCUGCGGCAGCGCAACACUGAAACGGAGGAGAGCCUGGUGAAGCGGCUGGCUGCUGCCCAGGCCGACAUGGAGAGCAGCAAGGAGCCCGGCCUGUUUGAUGUGGUCAUCAUUAACGACAGCCUGGACCAGGCCUACGCAGAGCUGAAGGAGGCGCUCUCUGAGGUGGGCCCAUCCUUGUGCCUACCUGGGCAAGGCCCAAGGGGAGGCCUGGGGGCCAGGCCUUUGUUGUCCAUGAGGCCACUGAGGUUAGAUGGGACAGUCCUACCCAAGCACUGGCAUGAGACACCGAGGUCCACAGUGGAGGGAGAGCAGGAAGCCCAGCCCUUCCUGGAUACCAGCCCUCCCAACUCCCUUUCUUCCUCACUGGCAGGAAAUCAAGAAAGCUCAAAGGACCGGCGCCUGAGGCUUGCUGUCUGUUCUUGGCACCCCGGGCCCAUACAGGACCAGGGCAGCAGCACUGAGCCACCCCCUUGGCAGGC